This is a long non-coding RNA of Papaver somniferum (opium poppy), 765 nucleotides long. RefSeq lists it as uncharacterized. The record is from RefSeq and is a predicted model, not a curated record. The transcript is spliced from 2 exons. NCBI's taxonomy places the organism in Eukaryota, Viridiplantae, Streptophyta, Magnoliopsida, Ranunculales, Papaveraceae.
CCGUGCCUUUGUUAUUUUUUUGAUAUUAAGUUAUUAACUGCUUGUCGACUUUUGAGUUGCACAAUCUCAUCGAACCACAAAGACGACUAAAUAUACAGUUUAUCUUAUGCUGGUCUUCUAAUUGCUUUCGAAUCAUCCUCUAUCCCUCCCACUCAGGCCUUAUAAGGUUGUCCACUGUGUUCGAUUGGCAGUCUGAAAUUGCAGUUAAUUAAUCUUCCACGAAUCUAGAAGAAAAGAAAUAAGGAUGUUUUUAUCGCAGUUGCUUCGUCUGAUAUGCUUGAUCCUCCUCUUAUCUCAAGUCUCUUGCAUAAGAAUUCCACCACCGCCACCCAUUCAAAGUGGCCGCAAGCACGAUAAACCAAGGCCAGGACCAUCAGGGAAGCCAAGGCCAGCAGGUCCACGUCCAUGAUGAAUUGAACAACAACGGAUUUGUACCCAAAAAAAAAGAGAGCAGUGUUUCCCAUCUUUACUUACGUAUCAGCAAACUGCAUGCCAGAUAGAAUAGUGUUCUGCUAACAUUUAGUACGUUUUAUUUAUCUUUUUGUUAUAUGAUCAGAGAUCAGUGGAGUUUACUUUUCAGGAUCUCACCAAACUGUUAAAGGGACGUUCAUCAUUUGACUUCAAAUAAGUCAAAGCUUUUGGUCAAUUUUAACUCGUGUAACUUUAUGUUAUCAGCAUGUAAUUUGGCUGUACACUUGUUCUUGUAUAAAAUGAUCAAGCCAAGGUCCGAAAGAUCAAAUUUAUAUACAAGCGAAAUUUGUACUC